Mercenaria mercenaria is the source of this 6561-nucleotide long non-coding RNA. RefSeq lists it as uncharacterized. The record is from RefSeq and is a predicted model, not a curated record. The transcript is spliced from 2 exons. Lineage: Eukaryota; Metazoa; Mollusca; Bivalvia; Venerida; Veneridae.
CAACAAGACACUGUCUUACAGGUAUACAUUGUCUUUAAAUCGUAAGUAUGUCUUAUCAAUAAAAAAUGGUUAAGAGGAACAAAAGACAAUCAUUCAUUCACAAUCAUUCAUCAACUAGCUCAGGAAUUUUUUAUGUCAGUUAUUUGUAGUCAUAUUUACUAAAGAUGACUCUGAAUAAAUAUCUGAAACCUGUUAUGAAAAGCAUGUUUUUUUUCUAUAUACAUGUAGACAGUGUAUAUUUAUUAUUUGUUUUAGACCACAUGUUAAUUUAGUUUUUAGUAGCUUUUAUUUCUUGAUUUGAUAGCAGCUUUAACUUUUAUGUUGUUUUGAGUUGGUAGCUCAAUUUAUAUCCAAAUAAAAUUGUCGCAAAUAUUACACAAUUUUCGGUAAAAUAAAGAACACUUUUUUUUCCAUUUUUCAAAAUUGUUUGCAAAUCUUAUGCAUGAUUGCAUAUUAUGCUACAGUACAAAUACAAGUUUAUGGACUGGGCAGUCUGCCAAAAGGAACUUAGGUACAUAUUGCAUUUCCAUGCAUAUAGACCAAUGUCAUGUAAUAUUUAUUAUACGAAAUAAAGAUCAGAUUUAUUAUAUUCAUUAAGUCUGAAAAUGAUACCAAGAUGGUGUUAUGAAAAAAAAAAUUGCAUGCGUAAAACACACUCUUGAUCACAUUGUACAGUUUUAUAGACCAGAUGGUACUAUGAAUGAAGAGGGAACUUUGGUGAGGUAUGAUAUUGUGGUAUUAUUAAAUCUAUUUUUCAAUGUAGUCAUUAUCAUUGGUGUAAAUGCAGUCAUAUGAUUAAUGAUAAAAAGUCAUAUUGAAUUGAGGAAAAACGCACUGACCUAUAGCAGUGAUGUUAUAAUGUUGUGACAUCAUAAAAUGUGACAUUUUAUACAAUUUAAGACCAUAACAAGAAAAAUACCUAAACACCUAUGUGUGUUGCAAACCUGACCAUUUAGGUACCAUAUGUUACAUACCAAUAAAUGUGUUUGCAAACUUGACCUAAAUUGUAUUCUUUACGUAAGCUGCUAUCCAUCAAACAGUGUUUAAACAGACUUCCUAAUUGUAAAUAUAGUUGUAGUAUUUUAUAUAUACACGUUAAUGUAGUUUUUUCUUUUGUAUUUAGCGAUUAUUUUACAUUUGAUAUUAAAGGGAUAGAGCUUUUUGUGCCCCAAAACAUUUUGAGCGGGUGUGGGCGCUUAGAUUUGCCCUUGUCCGUAUGUCAAUCAGUCCAAUUAAGUGUUGUGCAUAUCUCAAAAAGUACUUCACCAAGAGUCAUCAAAGAGUCACAGGAUUGUUAUUCAGCAUGUAGCGUUGUGCAUCUGAAGUUUUAUUUGGGAUUUCACAGAACCAGACCAGAGUUAUGCCCUUAAUUUAGUCAACAAUAAGCAUACAGUGACAGAAAGUAGGGGCACUAGUGACCUAUGGACACGCAUCUAGUUACUAUUUUGUUUGUCAGACAUAAGAUCUUCAUUCAACUUGCACAUACACACAUAUGCAGUGUGUUAUGAUCUUCAUUCAACUUGCACAUCCACACAUAUGCAGUGGAUUAUGAUCUUCAUUCAACUUGCACAUCCACACAUAUGCAGUGUGUUAUAAUCUUCAUUCAACUUGCACAUCCACACAUAUGCAGUGUGUUAUGAUCUUCAUUCAACUUGCACAUCCACACAUAUGCAGUGUGUUAUGGUCUUCAUUCAACUUGCACAUCCACACAUUUGCAGUGUGUUAUGAUCUUCAUUCAACCUGCACAUCCAAACAUAUGCAGUCUUUAUUCAACUUGCACAUCCACACAUAUGCAGUGUUUUAUGAUCUUCAUUCACAAUGCAGUACAUUAUGAUGUUAAUAAAACCUGCUCAUCAACAAACACAUGAUUUUCAUAAAUUUUAAACUUGCUCAAUAACAAGGACAUAAAGUAUGCCUUGGUGUUCACAGUCUUAUUUACUGUCAUUAGAUGACUUGUUUAACAUAAAAUCAGUAAAUUACUAGUAAUUAGUAUGCCUUUGUUGCGUAGAUAUUGAGGUUGAAUAAUAACUGAUAUGAAAGGAAAUGAAGCAAGGACUGACAUUUUGCAAUGAAGUAAGUAGGACUGACAUUUUGCAUUGAGCAAGUAGGACUGACAUUUUGCAAUGAAGCAAGCAGGACUGACAUUUUGCAGUGAAGCAAGAAGGACUGACAUUUUGCAAUGAAGCAAGCAGGACUGACAUUUUGCAAUGAAGCAAGCAGGACUGACAUUUUGCAUUGAGCAAGUAGGACUGACAUUUUGCAUUGAGCAAGUAGGACUGACAUUUUGCAAUGAAGCAAGCAGGACUGACAUUUUGCAGUGAAGCAAGAAGGACUGACAUUUUGCAAUGAAGCAAGCAGGACUGACAUUUUGCAAUGAAGCAAGCAGGACUGACAUUUUGCAAUGAAGCAAGAAGGACUGACAUUUUGCAAUGAAGCAAGCAGGACUGACAUUUUGCAGGAGCUAAAAUGCCAAGGAAUUUGUAACAGAUAAGGGGUCACUGGGAUAAUAUAUGAUGAUACAACACAUUUUUAGCUCACCUGUCACAAAGUGACAAGGUGAGCUUUUGUGAUCGCGCAGCGUCCGUCGUCCGUGCGUGCGUCCGUCCGUGCGUGCGUGCAUAAACUUUUGCUUGUGACCACUCUAGAGGUCACGUUUUUCAUGGGAUCUUUAUGAAAAUUGGUCAGAAUGUUCCCCUUGAUGAUAUCUAGGUCAAGUUCGAAACUGGGUCACGUGCAGUCAAAAACUAGGUCAUUAGGUCUAAAAAUAGAAAAACCUUGUGACCUCUCUAGAGGCCAUAUAUUUCACAAGAUCUUCACGAAAAUUGGUCAGAAUGUUCACCUUGAUGAUAUCUAGGUCAAGUUCGAAACUGGGUCACGUGGGGUCAAAAACUAGGUCAUUAGGUUUAAAAAUAGAAAAACCUUGUGACCUCUCUAGAGGCCAUAUUUCUCAAUGGAUCUUCAUGAAAAUUAAUCAGAAUGUUCACCUUGAUGAUAUCUAGGUCAAGUUCGAAACUGGGUCACGUGGGGUUAAAAACUAGGUCAGUAGAUCUAAAAAUAGAAAAACCUUGUGACCUCUCUAGAGGCCAUAUUUUUCAUGAGAUCUUCAUGAAUAUUGGUCAGAAUGUUCACCUUGAUGAUAUCUAGGUCAAGUUCGAAACUGGGUCAUGUGGGGUCAAAAACUAGGUCAGUAGGUCUAAAAAUAGAAAAACAUUGUGACCUCUCUAGAGGCCAUAUUUCUCAAUGGAUCUUCAUGAAAAUUGGUCAGAAUGUUCACCUUGAUGAUAUCUAGGUCAAGUUCGAAACUGGGUCACGUGGGGUUAAAAACUAGGUCAGUAGAUCUAAAAAUGGAAAAACCUUGUGACCUCUCUAGAGGCCAUAUUUUUCAUGAGAUCUUCAUGAAUAUUGGUCAGAAUGUUCACCUUGAUGAUAUCUAGGUCAAGUUCGAAACUGGGUCACGUGGGGUCAAAAACAAGGCCAGUAGGUCUAAAAAUAGAAAAACCUUGUGACCUCUCUAGAGGCCAUAUUUCUCAAUGGAUCUUCAUGAAAAUUGGUGAGAAUGUUCAGCUUGAUGAUAUCUAGGUCAGGUUCGAAAUUGGGUCAUGUGUGGUCAAAAACUAGAUCAGUAGGUCGAAAAAUAGAAAAACCUUGUGACCUCUCUAGAGGCCAUAUUUUUCACGGGAUCUUCAUGAAAAUUGGUGAGAAUGUUCACCUUGAUGAUAUCUAGGUCAAGUUUAUAAGUGGGUCACGUGCCUUCAAAAACUAGGUCAUUAGGUCAAAUAAUAGAAAAACCUUGUGACCUCUCUAGAGGCCAUAUUUUUCAAUGAAUCUUCAUGAAAAUUGGUCACAUGUGCUCAAAAACUAGGUCACUAUGUCAAAUAAUAGAAAUAACGACGUCAUACUCAGUUCAACACUGGGUCAUAUGGGGAUAGGUGAGCGAUUCAGGACCAUCAUGGUCCUCUUGUUUAUCACAGUCAUUGUCCAGUUUUAAGUCAUCAAAUUUUUUUACUUUUAAAACUUCUGUUUUUACAGUGAUCCACACGGCACACUUUAUUUUUAGUAAACUGUAAAGUACAUGUCCUUAACACUUAUCAUGCUGGUCACGGUUGAUUCUGCCUUUGUGACCGUCAAGAUCUGCACUGUUCACUAUUCAGUCAGUAUUGUUUUUGCUAAAUACCCUUUUUAAUAGUUAAUGGUACUGUCCAAAUCAAAAGAUGGACAAGUUCAUUAUAGAAAUUUAGCAGAGUAAGAGUUAAAUAGAGAAAAGUACCGCACAAUGACGGGCAUUAGUUCAUACAGUAUGGGAAGUUAACCUUUAGCCUGCUGGUGGCAAGUGAAUUUGCCUUUGCGACAAGUGCAGACCAAGAUCAGCCUACACAUCCAUGCAGGCUGAUCAUGGUCUGCACUGUUCGUUAUUCAGUCAGUAAAUCUUAAGUGAACACCCCUUUGAAUAAGAAAUGGUACUGCCCAAAUUAAAAGAUGGUCCAGUCCAUUUUAAAAAUCCAGUAGAGUAAGGGUUAUAAUAGGAAGCUGUAAAUUGUAGGGAUGGGAACAAAUACUGAAAUCAAUAUUCGAAUAUUCGGUUUGCCAUAUUCGAAUAUAUUCGAAUAUUCGGUUUGUUUUAAUGGAAGCUUUACAUACUUAUUAAGUGAUUGGCAUAUACACAACGUAUUCAUUUGUUUAAAGCGUAGAUCAUCGUACGUAAUAAGGCUAAAAAAUGUUUGUUUCUAUUUUCUUUUUAAUUGGACAUCUUUUGACACGCGAUAAACAAACAUGACAUGGUUUUAUUCUGUAGAAUUAGCAUGCUCAUAUUGCCCAAAAUCAAUGAUACUUAUUUUGAAAAAAAAAAUAUACAAUAAUUUACGAAUAUUCGAAUUUCAUUUUCAUAUUCGAAUAUUCGACCGGUUUUCGAAUAUUCGUUCCCAUCCCUAGUAAAUUGCCAUAGAAGAUGAUAAGAAAGACUUUAAAAUGUUUUAGUUUUGCUUUAAAUGAAUUGUGCUAAAUUAGAUAGGGUAAAUUAUUGUGUGUGUGUGUUUUUUUUUUUUUAGUUUUUGAUGGUCUACAAGGUUAUUAGUGGUUUUUGUUUUUAAAAAUUUUCAACAGCAUACGAAAAGCUGAAGUUUUCUCAAGUCUUAUGUGAAUUUUACCCAGAUCUUCCAAAAUGUACAAUAUGCAAUCAAAAAAGUAUAAAUUUUGUAUAUCCAUAGUUACAUGUAGCUAUAUAUUAAUUAAUAUAUUUAUUGGAUGUCAUUUGUACUUAUUCAUUCUAAUAUACUGAAUGUUCCUGGUAAAAUUUAAUGUUUAAGAUAUCCUGUUUUUUUUCUUUUAUAUGAUAGUUGAUUUUCUGCGUUUAGGGCAUUUUCUUAUCUGGUGUUAAUUUUAGUUCACCAGAUCAUUACCUUUACUUCUAUGUAUUUGUUGCAUUCAUAAGUGGUGAUUUAUUAACCUUCAGCCUGCUGUCAGCAAGUGAUUCUGCCUUUGCGACCAGUGCAGACCAAGAUCAGCCUACACAACUUUGCAGGCUGACCUUGGUCUACACUGUUCGCUAUUCAGUCAGUAAAUUUUCAGUGGAAACCCCUUCAAAUAAUAAUUGAAUGAUGGACCUCUGACCAUUUUAGAAAAUUAGCAGGUUAAAGGUUAAUUAUUGACUCCUGUAUACUUUAUACCAUUCAAACACAAGUUCUUAGUAUACUAUAGCUUAGACCGAGAAGCUCUAAAAUGCUACUAUUGGUUACAUAUUCAUUAAACUUGUUUUACUAGCCUCUGUCGUCAUUCCAAAUUUAGUGAGUCAUGUCUUUAUAGCAUUUCUAAACAGCCAGUAUUUUUGUGUAUACAGCUGGCAUUUCUAAUGGUGCUCAGUAUAUAAGUCUAUACACAAUACAAUCUGGUAUGAUAAAUGACUGCUUUUCUACUUAUUAUGUGAUAAAUUACUUCGUUUGAUAUUCUGUAACAGCUACGAGUUAUUUUAUCAUUUGUAAAUCUUUGUUUGCUUCCAGGGAACAGAAUUACUGUACAAAAAACUUUGAUUAAAAAGCAAAAUUUAGCAGUCUGUGUACUCAUAGAUUUACUUAGAUUUAGUAAAGUUAGAUUCAUAUAUUAUUUAUUAGCUUUUUUGUGAUACAUAUUUUUGCCUUGACAAGAGUCAAUUGAAAGUCCUGCAUUGCUUUUACGUUUAUUGGUGUGCUGAAAUUUAAAAAAGAACAUUAUGUAUAUUGUCAAAUUGCCCUUUCUAUGGUAAUGCGAAAUUCAGCAGCACCAUGGGAAAACAAACAUAGUGCAUUUGCAGCCAGCAUGGAUCCUGACCAGUCUGGUCAAGAUCCAUGCUGUUUGCUAAAGGUUUCUCUAAUUGCAAUAGGCUUUGAAAGCAAACAUCAUGGAUCCUGACCUGACUGUGCGGAUGCUCAGGCUGGUCUGAAUCCGCAAAUGCACUAUAUUGGGUUUGUCAUGUCGCAGCUCAGUUAGUAUCUUUUGCAAGACACUGUAAUACUUGGUUAGAAAAGAGAAUAUAUUUGUUAAGAAUAGACACUUACAUUUUAUUAGUUGAAAAAUAAAAUUUAUAUAUGA